GCACUUGUAGCUUAGUGGAUAGAGCGCUUACUUCCUAAGUUGAAGGUCGUAGGUUCGACCCCUACCUGGCGCA
RNAcentral lists this transfer RNA (73 nucleotides) under Nicotiana sylvestris (wood tobacco). It matches the Rfam family "tRNA". Rfam says of the family: Transfer RNA (tRNA) molecules are approximately 80 nucleotides in length. The record is from Rfam by way of RNAcentral. Lineage: Eukaryota; Viridiplantae; Streptophyta; Magnoliopsida; Solanales; Solanaceae.